Molecule: long non-coding RNA, 283 nt
Filed under: Elaeis guineensis (African oil palm)
Lineage: Eukaryota; Viridiplantae; Streptophyta; Magnoliopsida; Arecales; Arecaceae
Description: long non-coding RNA (EGUI_LNC002754)
Source: RNAcentral
CGACUUUGUGUGUGGCGUCUCUCCAAACCCCUUCGACCGUCCGGACUUCUCCGAUAGUGAACUUCUGCAUUCAUCUAUCGGGCCACCCCAAAAGCUCUCUGGGCCUCACCACCAGCCGACCUUCUACAGUGAUCAACUAUUCUCCGAACUUCUUUUGGACUUCGUCAAUAUCCGAACUUCUUCGACAAUGAGGUUUCUACAGUAAUCAGACUCCAUCCAAGUUACUACGGGCGGUCUACUCCGAACUCCUACAGCGAGCGGUCUACUCCGAACUUCUACUACG